Molecule: long non-coding RNA, 743 nt
Organism: Eubalaena glacialis (North Atlantic right whale)
Lineage: Eukaryota; Metazoa; Chordata; Mammalia; Artiodactyla; Balaenidae
Exons: 3
Source: RefSeq, a predicted model, not a curated record
AGCCGGUCGCUGGGAGGAACCCGAGUCCUGGGGCUCGUCGUCUCUCCUCUGUCACCUUGGCUGUCCUGACAACUUAUUUAUGGUCUAAGAUGCACUGUCUGAGAUUACACAGCUAGUAAGUAGUGGAUCCAGUAUGGAACAGAGGCCAGUCUGGCUCCAGUGGGCUACUUUCAGCCACCGUGCUCUAUUGCUUAUAGAAAACAUAUCAGGGACUUCCCUGGUGGCGCAGUGGUUAAGAAUCCGCCUGCCAAUGCAGAGGACAUGGGUUCGAUCCCUGGUCCAGGAAGAUCCCACAUGCCACGGAGCACCUAAGCCCGUGCACCACAACUACUGAGCCUGCUCUCUAGAGCCCAUGAGCCACAACUACUGAGCCCAUGUGCCACAACUACUGAAGCCCGCGUGCCUAAAGCCUGAGCUCCGCAACAAGAGGAACCACUGCAAUGAGAAGCCCGCGCACCGCAACAAAGAGUAGCCCCCGCUCGAUGCAACUAGAGAAAGACUGCGUGCAGCAACAAAGACCCAAUGCAACUAAAUACAUAAAUAAAUAAAUAAACAAACAAAUAAAUAAAUAAAAGAAUGUACUCCCAGACAUAUGAAAAAAAAAAAAAGAGAGAGAGAAAACAUCACAUGCAAGAACCUUUUAACUGAUCCGCUUAUACCAGUUUCUACUUCACUACUCCUUCCAACUCAUGCUCUGCAUUUCUGUCAGAAUCAUCCUUAUAAAACACAGAUCUGAUCUUCAU